CAGCAGCCGCGGUAAUACGUAGGUCCCGAGCGUUGUCCGGAUUUAUUGGGCGUAAAGCGAGCGCAGGCGGUUAGAUAAGUCUGAAGUUAAAGGCUGUGGCUUAACCAUAGUACGCUUUGGAAACUGUUUAACUUGAGUGCAAGAGGGGAGAGUGGGAUUCCAUGUGUAGCGGUGAAAUGCGUAGAUAUAUGGAGGAACACCGGUGGCGAAAGCGGCUCUCUGGCUUGUAACUGACGCUGAGGCUCGAAAGCGUGGGGAGCAAACAGGAUUAGAGACCCCAGUAGUCCCUGUCUCUUAUACA
RNAcentral lists this ribosomal RNA (301 nucleotides) under uncultured bacterium. Its description in RNAcentral is "partial 16S ribosomal RNA". It matches the Rfam family "Bacterial small subunit ribosomal RNA", at positions 509 to 808 of the family's 1533-position model. The record is from RNAcentral.